This 253-nucleotide ribosomal RNA is filed under the name uncultured bacterium. RNAcentral describes it as "partial 16S ribosomal RNA". It matches the Rfam family "Bacterial small subunit ribosomal RNA", at positions 524 to 776 of the family's 1533-position model. The record is from RNAcentral.
UACGAGAGGCCCAAACGUUAUUCGGAAUUACUGGGCUUAAAGAGUUCGUAGGCGGCGCAGAAAGUAGGGUGUGAAAGCCCUCGGCUCAGCCGAGGAAUUGCGCUCUAAACUACUGUGCUUGAGGAAGCUAGAGGUGAGCAGAACAGAUGGUGGAGCGGUGAAAUGCGUUGAUAUCAUCUGGAAUACCGGAGGCGAAGGCGGCUCACUGGGGCUUUUCUGACGCUGAGGAACGAAAGCCAGGGUAGCGAACGGG